RNAcentral lists this ribosomal RNA (250 nucleotides) under uncultured Leptolinea sp. RNAcentral's name for it is "partial 16S ribosomal RNA". It matches the Rfam family "Bacterial small subunit ribosomal RNA", at positions 1129 to 1382 of the family's 1533-position model. The record is from RNAcentral. Lineage: Bacteria; Bacillati; Chloroflexota; Anaerolineae; Anaerolineales; Anaerolineaceae.
AUAUGUGUCACACGGGACUGCCGGUCUUAAGCCGGAGGAAGUGGGGAUGAUGUCAAGUCAGCAUGGCCUUUAUAUCCUGGGCUACACACACGCUACAAUGGCCAACACAAUAGGUUGCUAAGCCGCGAGGUGGCGCCAAUCCAUAAAGUUGGUCUCAGUUCAGAUUGUAGGCUGCAACCCGCCUGCAUGAAGAUGGAGUUGCUAGUAACCGCAGGUCAGCUAUACUGCGGUGAAUACGUUCCCGGGGCUU